AUUUUCAUCUUUCUUCACGUUAACGGAAGUUAUAAUUCAGAUUGUACUAUAGUGGCAAUAAAUUGUGUCUCUGAAGAUAUAUAAACGCGACAGGAAGCGACUCGCGGUUAAUGGACACGUGAGAACGACAUGACACUUGACGUCACUUCCGUGUCCACAACAGUUACUGAAUUUAUAAUGUUCAAUAGAUAUUUAGAUAUUUCAAUCAAAUUGAAUAAAUUUUUGCAAGAAAUUGAAGUAAUUUGGCAGGAA
This is a long non-coding RNA of Danaus plexippus (monarch butterfly), 252 nucleotides long. RefSeq lists it as uncharacterized. NCBI's taxonomy places the organism in Eukaryota, Metazoa, Arthropoda, Insecta, Lepidoptera, Nymphalidae. The record is from RefSeq and is a predicted model, not a curated record. The transcript is spliced from 2 exons.